Molecule: non-coding RNA, 53 nt
Organism: Pseudomonas sp.
Lineage: Bacteria; Pseudomonadati; Pseudomonadota; Gammaproteobacteria; Pseudomonadales; Pseudomonadaceae
Source: Rfam
CUAUCGUUGUCGGGUCGCUGCAAAUUCAGCGACCGGAUUUAGCGAUCCGAACA